This 4653-nucleotide unclassified non-coding RNA is filed under the name Hevea brasiliensis (rubber tree). Lineage: Eukaryota; Viridiplantae; Streptophyta; Magnoliopsida; Malpighiales; Euphorbiaceae. The record is from RNAcentral.
GAAAUUUCAAACUGUUCUAUGCUUUGGCCGUAGGGUUUUGUUUUUUCUUCAUCAUCCAUCCUGUUUUUUUAUCCUUUAUUUUAUGGUUCAAACAUGUAUUCCUCUAGAGGAAAUGGUGCCUACGGUCAGCAAGCUUAUGGCUUGCAAUCUGGCUAUGCUCAAAACCUGGGAUCUGCAUAUUCUGCAAGUUCAGUUGGAGGGCCUAAUGGAGGCUCUCAACAUUCAUUGGCUUCUAGGCAUUCCUCAAUGUUAAGUGCCUCUCAAGAAACAGAUGUUGGUGGAUUACGAAGCUCGGCAUCACAUUUUGGAGGUCAAUAUGGAGCUAUCCAUGGCUCAGCUUCCAUGACUGGUGCUCAGCAGGUGCCCACAAUGAGUGCUAAAGGGACUGGACCAUCAGCUUUGGAAGUUCGUGGUGGCUAUCCCUCAGGUCUAUCUGAUUCUCCAAAAUUUUCUUCUGGUGACUAUGUUCCAUCAUCUAGUCUUGGAUAUGGUCACAAAAGUGAUCAAUUAUACACAGAGAAGAUUCAUGAUUAUCCAGUGAUCGACAGACGUCAAUAUGGUGAACGACAGAGUGCUUAUAUUGGGAGGGACAUGCAAACUGAUCCAGCUGCACGAUAUGCCGAUUCUGUUGGUUUUAGUCAUCAACAUCAGGCUGGGAUGUAUGAACGUAUUGAUCAGGCAUCAAUGCUUCAACAAGAACAGUUACUGAAAUCUCAGUCAUGGCAAUCUGCAUCUCUUGAUGGAAAGGCCAGACAAAUUGAAUAUCUUGCAGCAAGAGGUGCUGCUAGCCGUCAUCCCACUCAAGAUCUUGUGUCUUAUGGAGGAAAAAUGGAUAUUGAUCCUAGCAGUUCAUCAAUGCUUAGUGGUGCUUCAUAUGGUGGGCAACAUGCUCUAUCAAUAUUAGGGGCAGCUCCGCGGAGGAAUGCGGAUGAUCUCCUGUAUCGUCAGAGUUCAUCAAAUCCAGGCUAUGGAGUUAGCCUGCCUCCUGGUAGGGAUUAUGGCACAGGAAAAGGGCUUCAUGGGGCAUCUGUUGAUGCAGAUUAUCAUGGAGGUCAUUUGAGGAUUGAUGAGCGUAGGGACGAUAAAGCUGGUUAUCUUCGGGAGUUUGAGCUAAGAGAGGAGGACCGUCGUCGAGAACUUUUGCGUGAGAGGGAGAAAGAAAGAGAAAGGGAGAAGGAAAGGGAACGGGAACGAGAACGAGAACGAGAAAGAAAGCGUGAAAGGGAACGCAUUUUGGAGCGGCGUGAGAAGGAGAGGGAGCGAGAGCGGAAACGUGCAAUUGAAAUUAGACGCGAACGAACUCCACCAAGAGUCUCAAGAGAGAGACAUGGGUCCUCUUUGACAAAGGAGGGGAGAUCUUUGCGACGAGAUUCCCCAAGCCAUGAAGCUUCAAAUAGGUGGAUCAUGAUGUUUCAUUUGCGUCCUACUCUAGUUCUGAAUAUAUAGCUGUUUGAAUAUCUUGCAGUCUUCAUAACUAACUAGCUGCUCUGUUAUGCUGAAGGCGUCAUUCACCUGUUAAAGAAAAAAGAAGAGAAUAUGUCUGCAAGAUUCAUGCUUCCAGUUUGGUUGAUGUAGAGAGGGAUUACAUGUCAAUAGAUAAGAGAUAUCCCAGACUAUUUAUAUCUCCUGAAUUUUCAAAGGUUGUCAUUAACUGGCCAAAGGAGAAUCUUAAACUUUCUAUCCAUACACCUGUCAGUUUUGAGCAUGAUUUUAUUGAAGAUGAAAGUGUAGCAGAGUCAAAAGAGCCCCCAUCAACUAAGCUUUUGACUCAACAACUUGAAAAAUCAGAGCAUGGGCGCACAAUAUGGAAUGCAAAGAUCAUUUUGAUGAGUGGACUUAGUAAAAAUGCCAUGGAAGAGCUUUCUUCUGAGAAAAGCUAUGAUGAUCGUCUACCACAUAUUUGCAAUAUUCUUAGGUUUGCUAUCCUGAAAAGGGAUCGUUCUUUCAUGGCAAUUGGUGGUCCAUGGGAUUCUGUUGAUGGUGGUGACCCCUCGGUUGAUGAUUCUGUUCUAGUUCAAACAGCCCUGAGAUAUACCAAGGAUGCAACACAAAUUGAUUUGCAGAACUGCCGUAACUGGAAUCGUUUUCUGGAGAUACACUAUGAUAGGUUUGGCAAGGAUGGGUUCUUCAGCCAUAAAGAGAUCACUGUACUGUUUGUUCCUGAUUUAUUUGACUGCCUGCCUUCAUUGGAUAUAUGGCGAGACCAGUGGCUUGCACACAAGAGGGCUGUUGCUGAGAGAGUGCGUCAACUCUCAUUAAAAAAAGAGAGGUCUAGGGAGAAGAAGGAAGGGCUGAAAGGUAAAGGAACAGAUUCUUCAAAAGAUUCUAAAAGGGUCGACAAAUCGGAAACAACCAAAGAGUCUGCAUUCUCUGGUGUCAAUAAUAAGGAGAAAGAUGGGAAAGGUAAAAUGAUUGCAGAAAAGGGUGAUGACAAUGACAAGAACCUUGAGAAGAAGAAUGUGAUUGGAACAGGAGAGGAAGUCAAGAAUGUUGAAAAGAAAGAACAAGGAGAUGCUGCAGGUUCUCAGACAACUGACAGUGUGAAGACUGGAAAAAAGAAGAUUAUAAGGAGGGUUGUCAAACAGAAGGUUGCUAAUAAGAAAGCAAAUACUGAGAGUACUGUCAGCAAGCAAAAUGAGUCGUUUGAUGCAAAGGACGCUGGAGAGGCCAAUGACAGAUCUGAGAUCCCUGUUGAGCAGAAUGAAUCUUCUGCUGAUCCUUCUGGAGUUAAAACUUUUGUGAGGAAGAAAGUUAUAAAAAAGGUUCCAGCAGGGAAAGCGACUCAAAAUGAAGAUAAGAGCUUGCAACCUGAGGUUAAAGCUGAGAAGGAAGUGGACAACACUGAAGAUAAACCAAAGGAUAAUUCACAAACUGGUAGUGGUGCAGUUGUACAAGGUACUAGUGUCAAAACUGCCAUAAAGAAGAAAAUAAUUAAGAGAGUACUUAAAAGAAAGCUUGCAGGUGUGGAGACCAGUGGUGGGGCCAAUGAGACUAAGAAGGAUGACAAAAUAGUAGCUCAGACAGGUAAUGGAACAGAAAAUAUGGAGAAAGAAAGAACAGAUGCAGAAAGCCAGAUGAAUGAGAUACAAAAUUCAGAAAAGAAAAUAAUUCCCAAGUCAAAAUCGCCUACUGUGGAGAAGGAAGCUAGUGUGCCCAAUUCAAAUAAGACAGAGAUCAAAGCUGUCAAGGAGGAUAAGAAGGAUGACAAAGAAACUGAUGGGAAAAGUGCCUCGGGGGCUAAAAUUGAGCGUAAGGAUGACAAACAAAAAGUUGCUCAGAGGGAUAAUCAUGAUAGCAAGAAAGGAAAAUCAAAGGAUGAUGAAAAAUCAAAGGAUGAGAAGGACAAAAAUGGCAAAGAUGAGUCUAGGGGAAAAUCUAAUAAGGAUGCAAAAGAAAAGAGAAUGCCUGAGGAACCUCCUAGGCAUCCUGGAUUGAUUUUUCAAACAAGAGGGGACAAGGAAACUAAGCUGCGGUCAUUGUCACUUUCACUUGACUCACUUUUGGACUACACUGAUAAUGAUGUCGAGGAAUCCACAUUUGAGCUCUCAUUAUUUGCUGAAUCAUUUUAUGAAAUGCUUCAAUAUCAGAUGGGCUCUCGUAUUCUGACAUUUCUCCAGAAGCUACGCAUUAAAUUUGUAACAAGAAGAAAUCAACGGAAGAGGCUGCGGGAGGAAAUGGAAGAGAAGGAUAUGGAGAGGAAAUCAUCAACCAAACGCCCAAAGAAUGAACAGCCUCUGAAGACUAAAUCUUCUGACUCUGAACUGUUGGCUACAAAUCAAUCUGAGGAUCCAAAAACUAAGAAAAAAGAAGAUACUUCUGUUGAUAAGGUUAAUGAAGCAGGGUCGGAAGAUGAAACUGAUUAUGAGGAAGACCCAGAGGAAGAUCCUGAAGAAUAUGAAGAAAUGGAGGAUGUUGGAGAUGACUCAUCUAAUGAGAAGAACAAAGAAGAGGGAAAGAUGGGUCUGGAUGCUGACUAUGAACCGGUGACUGGCAAUGGGAAAGAAAAAGCAGCGAAAGAUGCCAAGGAGACAAAAUGUGAAGAGGCAAAGGUCAAGUCUGAUGUUGAUUUGUCAGAAACGAGAGAUUUGAAGGUGGAGACUGGGAAUAAAGAGCCAUCUGCUGUAAAGGAUGCUGUGGUUGAUAAGGAACUAUUGCAGGCGUUCAGGUUUUUUGAUCGUAAUCGAACUGGCUAUGUUAGGGUAAAGAUUAAGAUUAAAGCUUUUAUGUUUUUCUUGCAUUAGCCAUGCCCAAGAUUGGUGAAGAGUAUCUUCUAUUUUUCAGGUUGCAGACAUGAGGUUGAUUAUCCAUAACUUGGGGAAAUUUCUUUCCCACAGGGAUGUGAAGGAACUCGUGCAAAGUGCACUGUUAGAGAGCAACACUGGGAGGGACGACCACAUUCUUUAUGGCAAACUGGUGAGAAUGGCCCUAGAUUGAGACAUGGAGCCUGGUUUGUUUUUGUUUUUACUAGUUUGGGAUUUGGUUUUUGUGGGUGGUGUUACUUUUUAUCAAGUUUUGAUUCGUCAGAAAUCUUUACUGGUGAAAAGGAUGGUGCUGUUACAUAUUUUGCAGAACAUUGAUAAUGAGAAAAUGUAAAUUGUUGUGAGCAAUAUUAAUAGAAACUUUGGGGGAUAGUCCCCUGUGCUUAUCUUUUUU